Molecule: regulatory RNA element, 286 nt
Organism: Cavia porcellus (domestic guinea pig)
Lineage: Eukaryota; Metazoa; Chordata; Mammalia; Rodentia; Caviidae
Rfam family: Mason-Pfizer monkey virus packaging signal
About the family: The packaging signal is located in the 5' UTR and is required for specific RNA encapsidation.
Source: Rfam
UGGCGCCCCAACAUGGGGCCAGAGAAUAGGGGAUCCAGUGAGGGACGCUGUUCAAGAAGCAGGCACAAAAACAGGAUGGAGAAAAUUCCGAGAUAGAGGAAAAGAUUACACGGGAGCCUGCUGCAUUUUCUACAUCUCGGUGAGUAAAAAACAAUUAUGGGACAAGAAAUGAGCCAACAUGGGAUUUUUAUUGAAAGUUUAGGAAAGGCUCUAAAGGCAUGAGGAGUAAAGGUUAAAAUUAAGCAAUUAUGUCAAUAUUUUGAUUAUAUAAAGGCAGUUUGUCCUU